RNAcentral lists this ribosomal RNA (292 nucleotides) under uncultured bacterium. RNAcentral describes it as "partial 16S ribosomal RNA". It matches the Rfam family "Bacterial small subunit ribosomal RNA", at positions 505 to 796 of the family's 1533-position model. The record is from RNAcentral.
GUGUCAGCCGCCGCGGUAAUACGUAGGUGGCGAGCGUUGUCCGGAAUUACUGGGUGUAAAGGGCGUGUAGGCGGGACGGUAAGUCAGAUGUGAAAUUCCGAAGCUUAACUUCGGCGCUGCAUCUGAAACUAUCGUUCUUGAGUGCUGGAGAGGAAAGCGGAAUUCCUAGUGUAGCGGUGAAAUGCGUAGAUAUUAGGAGGAACACCAGUGGCGAAGGCGGCUUUCUGGACAGUAACUGACGCUGAGGCGCGAAAGCGUGGGGAGCAAACAGGAUUAGAUACCCGCGUAGUCC